RNAcentral lists this unclassified non-coding RNA (99 nucleotides) under plant metagenome. RNAcentral describes it as "partial contains 5.8S ribosomal RNA, internal transcribed spacer 2, and large subunit ribosomal RNA". The record is from RNAcentral.
GAUGGCUGGCUGUUGUCGGUGACGGGGGAGGAGUUUGGCGGCGGCUUCGGCUUUGGCGCGUUCGACGUCGAGUUCGGCGAUCACCGAGGUGUAGACGUC